This 6344-nucleotide long non-coding RNA is filed under the name Sus scrofa (pig). Its description in RNAcentral is "lncRNA (ENSSSCG00000052572.1)". The record is from RNAcentral. Lineage: Eukaryota; Metazoa; Chordata; Mammalia; Artiodactyla; Suidae.
CAUUCUAAAUGGAAUAGUUUGCAUCUACGAAGCCCAAACUCCCAGCCCAUCCCACUUCCUCCCCCUUGGCAACCGAAAGUCUGCUCUCUAUGUUUGUGAGUCUGUUUCUAUUCUGUAAAUAGGUUCAUUUGUGCCAUAUUUUAGAUUCCACAUAUAAGUGAUAUCAUGGUACUUUGUCUGACUGCAUUUAGAAUCUCUAGCUGCAUCUAUGUUGCUACCAAUGGCAUUAUUUCAUUUUUAUGGUUGAAUAAUAUUACAUUGUAUAUAUGUACCAUAUCUUCUUAAUCCAUUCAUCUGUCAGUUGACAUGUUGUUUCCAUGUCUUGACUAUUGUAAAUUGUGCUGCUGUGAAGGUACAGGUGCAUGACAUGAAAAUCUAGAUGAGUGUUUGAUGCUUUGAGUACAUGCAAAACACUUUAUAAUCUAAGUUGUAAUUUCUUGACCAAAGAUAAACACAUUUUUAUUAAAAAGUGAGACUUUUACUAACUGGGAAUAGAUAGCUGCCACACUGGAGUUUGGAAAACCAUGUUUAAAGCAGCUGGUCAAAAUUUUUCACGGAAAAAAAUUCUUUUCGCAGUGGAAGUGAAAUUCGUGAUAAAGUCAGUAAAAAGUGAAGGUAUGUAGGAAGGUUUGGGGAACCGAGGAAGGUGGUUAUUUUGACUAAAUGCAAACUUCCACUAAAUAUACUGGGUUUUUUUUAUUGCUUUUAAUGGAUGAUCCCUCUAGAUCCUUAGUGAGGGUUAUGAAUGUGAGACUACUCGAUUUUGUAACUGGACAUAGGUGGGAAAGUACAGUUGUUCAAUGUUAGCAAAUCCCUUCUGUGUUGACCACAAAGCAAACAUACACAGCCUUGAUUCCUUUACAAGGCUGUGUGUUGGUCAAGUUAUCAAUUGAUAACCUCCAUGAGUGUCUGCUCAGGGUGAACCAACUGUCAUUUCUGGGCUAUGGCUUCAUGCUUUCAGCAUUACUUAAUAAAUCUGAAAAGUCUCUAGAGAUUACAGAAUUCUGUAAUUUCCUUCAGCCAUAAUGAUAGAAUUUUACCAUAUUCUUUUUAUUUCUUUAUAUAUUUCACAAUUCAGAUACCGUUGCAUGUCUGCCAUAUCCCACAUGUUUUGAUAUACAUUAACUUUUCUCAGCAUCACAACAGUGCUGUAAAAUGGGUGUCAUUGUCCCUAUUUGGGUUUUGAGCUAUCUGAGGAUGAGGAAAGUUAAUGAGUUACUUAAUUUUGAACAGUUCCUGAUUGCUGGAAAUUAGAUUUAUAUUUGUCCUGCCUUUAAGUCCAGCCAUGUUUUUAAGUCUGUGUAUGAUGUCAAAAUGGAAAAAAAAAAUGUUGACGUUAUUCUCCAAAGUAUAUUUAAUUCUUUUCAAUGGCAUUAACGUUUGUUAUAUCAUAGAUCUUUUGCCUUUCUGGAAGCUGCUGCAUUUUGUAGUAGAAUCAGCUUUCUGAGUAGUGCCUUAGCAUACCUAAUAACCACAUAAAAUUAACUUCUUCAGAAAGUUAAGCAAUUCAUUCUUUGGCAGUAUAAUAGUAUCUGCCAAUUAUAUUUUUCUGCUUCAUUGAUAAAGCUAUUUUAUGUCAUCAAUAUUGAUAAAUGAAACAGAAGGCAGUCCAUUGAAUUUUUUCCUUGGUUUAUACAUAUGCUUUUCUUAAAGAUAUUUUGAAGGAAAAGCUAAUGCAGGAAAUAUUGAUUCAAUUCUUCAUCUAGAGGAAUAUGGAACUUAUUGACUUAGAGUGUAUUAUUUACCUUUACAGUGUAUUGCAGUAUUUUGUAGUUGUGUUUCAAAUCUUACUGUUUCUCAUAGUUUAGUCCAGAGUUUAUUUAUUUAUUUAUUUAUUGGACUGUACCUGAGGCAUGUGGAAAUUCCUGGGCCAGGGAUUGAAUCCAUGCCACAGCUGCAGCGACACUGGAUCCUUAACCUGCUGCAGGGAACUUUCAUGUUUCUCACAGCUUAGAAGAUGUUAAAAUAAAUUAUAAUGUCAUGGAGGCAAUUCAUAUUGACUUGAAUUGCUUUUUACUCUUUUUAACUUUAGGAGGAAAUCAGGAAAUUAGAAUUUCUAAGGAAACUUUUCAGUAUCAAAAUUAAGUGAAUUAUUUGGCAAGUGGAAAAAUAUACUAAGAGAAAGAAGGAAGAUUUUCCACAUUGGUUGGAUUUUAGUUACUAGGCUUGAGAAUAUAAACACCUUUGUGCAUGGGUUUUGUGGCAGAUGGGGGAGGGAGCUCUGUGGGGUUUUUGUUAUCAGGGCACUACUCUCAUUCUGGGGUGGCUCCACUCUCAUGACCGAAUCACCCCUCCAAAGCCCCUACCUCCUAACACCAUCCCACUGGGAAGUUAGGCUUACAACAUAGGAAUUUUGACAGGAUGCAGACGUUUCAAUCAUAGCAUUUAACAUUUAUUUCUAUCAAGUAAUGCAGUUAAAUUGGCCCCUUGAAAUAAGUAUCUGGCUAAAAAAUUAUAAUGCAUAUUAACCAAAUAUGUAGGCACAUUAAAACUUUUCACAUAAAGUAUAUAACUUAGGAAGAAUUUUGAACAAGGAUGUGUUUAUGAAUCUGUAGUUAGAUUAAUGUUGUUUCAUUUUACCCUUUGAAGACACAUCUCUGUUGCUCUCCUAGUACCCAGGAAACUAUUUCCUGGAUCUCUCAGGAAACAAAAAUCACUUUAAAUAGGAAUUUACAUUUUACAAUUUAUAAUGUGAUGCAAUUUAAAAUAGGUGUGUUCAAGAGCCUUUCUUGGCAUCUCUAGGACAUUCACAUAAUGUUAUAUAUAUUUUUUUCUGGCCACACCUACAGCAUGCGGAAGUUCCCAGCCAGUCAUCAAAACUUCCCCACAGCAGCCACCUGAGCUGCAUCAGUGAAAAUGCUGAAUCCUUAACCCACUGAACUCUGAAUAGUGGUUGAGGGAGACGAAGCUAUUUGCUUGCUUGCAGGAACUGGGCAUGGAGAGAGGAACUGCCCCUGAAGGAGAGAGUGCCUGGCUGUGAGUGCCUAGCUGUGCCAAAAAAUAGCAUGGAGGCCAGGGGAUAGGAGGUCAAGAAAAACAAGGGCCAGGUCCUCAUGGCUCUGUGAGUGAAUCCCAAGAGCCUCCACUCCAGUAGAAGGUGGCAGAAGGGACCUGCUUUGGUGGAUUUUAGAGGUUGGUUCUCUGCUCAUUUGGGCACAGACUGUGGAGGGGCAGUGGGCAGAAGGGAAGAGUGUGCAUGCUAAUGUCAGUUGUGCACCUGGGGUGGUCAGUGGGGAAGGGCAGAAGAUGUCUCCUGAUUGAACUGGACCUGGGCUAUUUGGGGGCAGAGCCUAAGGUUCCUUGGAGGUUUCCGCACCAGCAACUGGAAAGGUUGAGUUGCACUGAUGAGAAGGGUAGCUCUGGUUCUAGAAUCUGGUCAUCCAUCUUCAUCUGAAUCUCCUCAUUCCCCAUAGUCCCUGUUCCACAUGUUUUAGCUCCAGACCACACUCCUAAUCUGGUAAUAUGGCAGGAUCCCAAAACCAGGCAUUUUGCUUCCAGUUUGAGAAUUACAUCCUGUAGCCUCAAGCAAGGUGUACAAAAUUCUCUUAAUUCCACUCAUGGAUAAUCAGAAAAUGGCUUCGUCUAACCCUCCACUCCCAAGACUUUGACUCCCUAGGUUUUAGACCUCUGGGAAGCUGUUUUAUAGGUCCCACCCUUCCUCUGCAUUUGCCUACCUCCCUACUUCCCUGUAGUCUGAACUCCUUAGAGGCUCCAGUGGGACUACACCAGUCCACUUUACCCGCCCUAGCUUUGCUUCUUUGUAGGAGACUCUCUUGAUUUUACUGGUAGAGCUUCAGAGAGCUUGUUACUGUCUUUUGAGCUUUUUUCUCCUUCAGAGCCCCUGCCAAGGCAGUCACACCCAUUAUAUGUCAAGCUCAUUAAGUUCAUCUCUUUAAAGACUUUCCUACUCACCUAAUUGUUUCUGGCAUUCCUUUCCUAACAGGCAGGGCACUCUAAAAUCCCUUAUGCUAUUCUCAUUUAUAAUUAGCUCAACUGAUGAUUCAAUCACCCUUUGGGCUAAAUUCAAUGCAAUAAUUAUUGAUUAUCCUUUAUGUGAAAAGCCUGGGACAGGCUAAGGAGAUAAAGAUAUAGCCGAAGGCUGGAGUAGGGCUCACCCCAGAAAUGUUCUCUAAGCUAAGUGGAGCAUUUUGUUAUAAAAUAUAUAGAAAUGGGGGUAGCAGAAGCAUGCAUUCAGCUUUCCAAGGCCAUGGGGCUUAUUGAAAAAAUUCGUCAGGUUGUGUCUUGAAAAGUCAUCUGUGGCUGCGCAAAUGAAUAAAUGAAGCAGGAUUUUGCUGGGGGAAAAGAGUGUAUAAAGGCAUUCACGGAAGAAGAGUUAGAAAAGCACAAGUUCAAGAGUGAUAAAUCUUUCAGUACGCCACAAGCUUGAUGCACAGAGCAUGACGUUUUGGCCAGAACCUCAUCAAAGUGGGUCUGGCCUCUUAUUCUAAAGAACACUCUUGUUCUUUAAUGUUUUUUAAACUUACUAAAUGCCUCAAAAAAGAAAUGUAACCCAGCCAAGAGCAAAUGAGACUUUCUCAGGUUCUCUGGAUGAGAGCAGUUGUGAUUGGAAACCCAAGUCUGGGGGCUCUUCCUUCCCUUCCCCCGGGCCCGCCUCCAGACAAGUCCUCUGCAGCUUCACUAAAUUUAGCUUGACAGGCAAAAGCUGGAGGACAGGGGAUGGAAACAUAGGAUUUCCUUUCAACUGAAGAGUUACAUGUGAAUAUUUGCAUAGAUAGUUUUUCCUGGGAGCAGUGAGGAGAAUUGAUUUUAGAAGACAGGAUGCAGAAACCAGGAAUAAAGGCAGAGGUCAUUGCAGUAACCCGAGUCAGAGGGUGAAGCAGCGCUCCAGGAAUGCACGGUUGCCAGCUCAAGAUCCAGUCCUGCUCAGUCAUCAUAUGAACUUGUUAGUUUAAAAAUGGAACCUCAGUUGUACCAACUCUAAAACCAGGGCUCAGUGACCUACAUUGUUCUGCUUUUCAAGGCUCCUUUUCCUUGACUUGCCUAACCUUUUCUCUAGUUUUUGCCCAAAGGAUGUUAACUUAGUAUAAAAAAAGGAAAUUCCCCAAAUUAUAUACUAUAUUUUCUAAGAUAGAUGUGUUGGUAGUUUCACCACUGGGCUUGAAAUUUAGGAGAAAAAAAUACUAGCUUGCCUCCAUUUAUCUUGUUGUAUUUGCACCUGGCUUGGUUAAUAUGGACCAGUAAUGGCAAGUAACAGUAUUUCAGAAAACAGAAAAGGAAGGUCAUAAUUAACUGGUUGCUCUGGAGAAAAGGGGAGACAAGGGUUUUUGUCCCUAAAAUGACAAAUUCUCAGCUGGUUUGGUAAGUGGAGAACGAAGUUUUCUGUUCAUGAGUUGAAAUUUUUCUGCACUUGGUCAGACCUCCUGUGUGAUUUACAUGCAUACAAAUAGCCUUAAUUGAUUAACAGUUUAGAAGCAGGACUGCUGGGAUGCUGAAGGGGAAAAAAAGGUAAGGAUGAGCAGGGAACUAGGACUUUUGAAUUGAUCCAGGUGCAAGAAUUACACAGUCUAUAAUGGGUCAAUUAAAUAAUCUGUUCAGCAACUCCUUAUUUCCUUGCCAUGAAUUGGUUUAAUUAAAUAUGAAUUGAAGUAGAUUAUUAGCUGGAUCAAGUCUCUGGGAGCUUUGCACAGACAUGAGGAAAUUGUUAAGGACUUGCAACAUUGUUUAUAGAAGGACUUGAUAAUUUUUUUUUUUUUUUUUGGACUCUAAAGAAUCUGGGGCAAAAAUAAGUAGAAAUGUGAAAAGAAAUCAAAGCUAAUCACUUUUCUUCUUUUUAUAUUUCUGCCAAGAGACUUUUGUUGCCUUUCCAAGGCCAGUCAAGUGAUGUGCAGAAAGCAUGAACAGCUGAAAGCCUUACAGCCCAGGGAGUGGGGAAAUUUUCACAUGUAAUUCAAGUCUUGAUGUAGGAACAUAUUGUAAAGUUUUAUUAGAAUUUAAAAAAGAUUAUAGAAGAUCUCAUUGCUGAAGUUAUCUUGAAAUAGUAUUUGACAUAUUCAAAAUGUGUUUUUGGUGUUUGUUUUAAAUGCCUGGUUAUGUUUCUACAUAUUUUUUUCUUUUUUCUUUUUUUUAAAAAAAGAAGGAGUUCCCGUCGUGGCGCAGCCGUUAACAAAUCCGACUAGGAACCAUGAGGUUGCGGGUUCGAUCCCUGCCCCUGCUCAGUGGGUUAACGAUCCGGCGUUGCCGUGAGCUGUGGUGUAGGUUGCAGACGCGGCUUGGAUCCUGCGUUGCUGUGGCUCUGGCGUAGGCCAGUGGCUAUAGCUCUGAUAAGACCCCUAGCCUGGGAACCUCCAUAUGCCACGGGAGUGGCCCCAAAAAAUAGCAAAAAG